Molecule: ribosomal RNA, 1241 nt
Filed under: metagenome
Description: bacterial LSU rRNA
Rfam family: Bacterial large subunit ribosomal RNA
Source: RNAcentral
UGAAUACGAGACGCUAAGGCGUCGAAGUAGUGUAUGUCAUACUUCCAAGAAAAGCUUGCACUGUCAUAGAUAAAAAACGCCUGUACCAUAACCGACACAGGUGGGUAGGUAGAGUAUACUAAGGGGCGCGAGAUAACUCUCUCUAAGGAACUCGGCAAAAUAACUCCGUAACUUCGGGAGAAGGAGUGCCUUAUUCGUAAGGUUGCAAUAACAAGAUCCAAGCAACAGUUUAUCAAAAACACAGGUCUCCGCUAAGUCGUAAGACGAUGUAUGGGGGCUGACGCCUGCCCAGUGCCAGAAGGUCAAAGAAGUUGGUUAGCAAUUGCGAAGCUGAUAACUGAAGCCCUGGUGAACGGCGGCCGUAACGAUAACGGUCCUAAGGUAGCGAAAUUCCUUGUCGGGUAAGUUCCGACCCGCACGAAAGGCGUAAUGAUUUGGAUACUGUCUCGGAGAGGGGCUCGGUGAAAUAGACUUGUCUGUGAAGAUGCGGACUACCUGCACCAGGACAGAAAGACCCUAUGAAGCUUUACUGUAACUUGAAAUUGAAAUUGGACUUUAUUCGCGCAGUAUAGGUGGGAGGCGUUGAUUAUAAUCUUGUGGGAUUAUUGGAGCCAUCAGUGAGAUACCACUCUUGUAAUGUUAGAUUUCUAACUUUGAAUCAUUAUCUGGUCAAAGAACAGUUUCAGGCGGGCAGUUUGACUGGGGCGGUCGCCUCCUAAACGGUAACGGAGGCGUAGAAAGGUUUCCUCUGAACGGUUAGAAAUCGUAUCUAGAGUGUAAAGGCAUAAGGAAGCUUGACUGUGAGACCUACAAGUCGAGCAGGGACGAAAGUCGGUCUUAGUGAUCUGACGGUACUGAGUGGAAAGGCCGUCACUCAACGGAUAAAAGUUACUCUAGGAUAACAGGCUGAUCUCCCCCAAGAGUUCACAUCGACGGGGAGGUUUGGCACCUCGAUGUCGGCUCAUCGCAUCCUGGGGCGGUAGUACGUCCCAAGGGUUGGGCUGUUCGCCCAUGAAAGCGGUACGCGAGCUGGGUUCAGAACGUCGUGAGACAGUUCGGUCCAUAUCCGGUGUAGGCGUUAGAAUAUUGAGAGGAGCCUUCUUUAGUACGAGAGGACCGAGAAGGACAUACCUCUGGUGUACCAGUUAUCGUGCCAACGGUAAACGCUGGGUAGCUAUGUAUGGAGUGGAUAACCGCUGAAAGCAUCUAAGUGGGAAGCCCACCUCAAGAUAAGUAUUCUC